UUAAGUUCACUGCCUGGGGAGUACGGUCGCAAGGCUGAAACUUAAAGGAAUUGGCGGGGGAGCACUGCAACGGGAGGAGCGUGCGGUUUAAUUGGAUUCAACGCCGGAAAACUCACCAAGGCCGACUGUUAGAUGAAGAUCAGCGUAAUGAGCUUAUCGGAUUUUCAGAGAGGUGGUGCAUGGCCGUCGUCAGUUCGUACUGUAAAGCGUUCUGUUAAGUCAGAUAACGAACGAGACCCUCAUCUUUAUUUGCUACCCCAUUCCCCGGAAUGGGCGCACUAUAGAGAGACCGCUGGUGUGAAACCAGAGGAAGGCGAGGGCAACGACAGGUCAGUAUGCCCCGAAUGUCUUGGGCUACACGCGCGCUACAAAGGACAGGACAAUGGGAUGCUAGGCCGAGAGGCAUUCACGCUAACCCGAAACCUGUUCAUAGUUCGGAUUGAGGGCUGUAACUCGCCCUCAUGAAGCUGGAUUCCGUAGUAAUCGUGUUUCAAUAUAGCACGGUGAAUAUGCCCCUGCUCCUUGCACACACCGCCCGUCAAACCAUCUUAGUUGGGGGUGGGUGAGGCUGCGCUUUAUGGCGUAUUCGAGCCUGCCUUCGACAAGGAGGGUUAAGUCGUAACAAGGUAUCUGUAGGGGAACCUGCAGAUG
This 651-nucleotide ribosomal RNA is filed under the name marine metagenome. RNAcentral's name for it is "bacterial SSU rRNA". It matches the Rfam family "Archaeal small subunit ribosomal RNA", at positions 815 to 1467 of the family's 1478-position model. The record is from RNAcentral.